RNAcentral lists this long non-coding RNA (1007 nucleotides) under Callithrix jacchus (white-tufted-ear marmoset). RNAcentral describes it as "lncRNA (ENSCJAG00000081151.1)". The record is from RNAcentral. Lineage: Eukaryota; Metazoa; Chordata; Mammalia; Primates; Cebidae.
GAAAAUACCCCAGCAAAUCCAGGCAAAUAUGAAGACUUAUAAAACUAGAAGAACAAAUACUGACAGACAACCUAAUUGCCAGGAUGUGGAAGAAACUGACAAUACUUAUAAGCAUCAGAAACUGCUUGUCUCCCAUGGCCUCCAACUCUGGAAACCCCCCAUUGGACAGGACCUCCAGGCCUCCAGCACCCUACCUAUCACUGCACCUCAGCCUCAUCAUGACCUCAGGCUCAGCCGCAACCCAGCUGCCCCACACCAAAAAGAGCAGGUAUUUCUGGCUUCACAUGCUUUCUAGUUUAGCCUAGACCCCGCAGGUAGGCCAUGUCAACAAAGCCAAGUUACUACCAGGGACUGAAACUGAACUCUGCAAUGCAGCAGCCAUUAGCCCCAUGUGGCUAUUAGGCACUUGAUAUGUAGCGAGUCCAAAUUGAAAUGCACCAUCAGUAUAAAAUACAUGCCAGAUCCAAGGACUUAAUAUGAAAAAAAAUUAAGUAUCUUAUUGAUAAUUUUGUCUUGACAUGUUGAAAUGGUGGUUUUUUUAAUACCCUGAGUUAAAUAACAUUAAAAUGAAUUUCCCCUAUUUGUCUUACCCUUUUAAUGUGGUUACUAGAAAAUAUGUGGUUUACAUCAUCUCUCUAUUGAGCAGAACUUUUCCAGAACCAGUUGCUGACUGGAACUAGUGGAAACAGAAUCUGGCUCUCUCGGGCCAGGGACUGGCAAAAAUUAGGUGGCUGUCAAGGCCCCAUAGAGAUGGGAUGUGCUACAUGGUAUCCCAGACGGGCUAGGCUACCAGGAAGAAAAUGUUAAGUCAGAGACCCAGCCCUACAACACCACAGAUACCUCUUCCCACAGACUAAUGGGUGGGAAGGUGGCUUUCUGAGGAAGGAGCUGGCUAUAUUGGUAAUACCUGGCAAUUUUUGUCAUUGCAGCUAUUACUGUUCAGUAUGUAGACCUGACGCAGAGGGUGGAGGGGUGCAUACAAGCAGAAAGAAGAAAGCUCCACACCC